UUAUCUUUUAUGUAUGAAAAUUGAAAGUUUGGAAUGAACUCUUCCCUCCUUAGCUACUCCACUGUUUGUUUGUUGGGGCAGAAAUUUCCACUUUACUUCCAUUUUCCGUUUGUGUGUUGUGGCAAUGGAAUCUGCACUGAUAUUUCUGGGAACUGGAAGUUCAGGGUCGAUUCCCUCGAUGAGGUGCCUCAUCGACCCUUCAGAUCCUCCAUGCUCCGUCUGCGCUCAAUCUCUCUCCCUCCCACCUCAUCUCAACUCUAAUUACAGGUGCAAUACCUCUCUGUUAAUCCAAUCUUACUCUGAAGCCGACGCCACUCACAAAUAUAUAUUGAUUGAUGCUGGCAAGACCUUCAGGGAGGCUGUGCUUAGGUGGUUUGUUUUCCAUAGCAUUCCAAGAGUAGAUUCUAUUCUUUUGACUCAUGAGCAUGCUGAUGCAGUCCUUGGAUUGGAUGAUAUACGUGCUGUGCAGCCGUUUAGUCCCACAAAUGAUAUUGAUCCCACUCCCGUUUACUUAACUCAGCAUUCUAUGGAUAGCAUGGAAAGGGUGUUUCCUUAUUUGGUUCAGAAAAAACACAGAGAAGGGCAAGAAAUACGAAGGGUAGCUCAGUUUUGCUGGAACAUAAUUGCUGAUGAUUGUAAUCAGCCAUUUUUUGCGUCAGGCUUGAAAUUGACUCCUUUGCCAGUAAUGCAUGGAGAAGAUUAUAUCUGUUUGGGUUUUCUUUUUGGUGAGAAAAAUAGGGUGGCUUAUAUAUCUGAUGUUUCACGGAUUCCGGCUAAUACAGAGUAUGUCAUUUCAAAAAGUGGGGCUGGACAGUUGGAUCUUCUUAUAUUGGAUGCAUUGAGAAAGACUGGAUCACAUAACGUUCACUUUUGUCUUCCACAGGCUCUUGAAACUGUUAAGAGGUUAUGUCCAAAGCAAACCUUAUUGAUUGGAAUGACUCACGAGUUUGAUCACCACAAGGACAAUGAAUUUUUAAUGGAGUGGUCCAGAAGGGAAGGACUAUCGGUGCAGCUUGCUCACGAUGGUUUAAGAGUGCCCAUAAACUUAUAGUAAGAAAUCAAUUACUCUCAAAUCAUAUUUGAGGGUAUUUCCACGUGUUUACGACUAAAAUCAUUCAAGAGAUCUAGCAACGCAAUCUUGAAGGGUAAUGCGCAUGAUAUAUUUUCAAAAUUGGAGAACAUUGAAAUAUUUUCAAGAUAAUCCCGUGCUUCUACAACAAUCUGAGGACUCAAUAUUCAUGCCCAAAAAUAAGAAAUUCAGUUUUAUACAUGAGAAGGAUGAUGACCUCUUGUGAUGUCUUGUAUUCCCUAUGUUUCUAAUUAAAUUUUACGAAGAACGUAAUCUUCACCUCGAUGCUGAAACAAAUUUUAGACAGUAACUAGAGUUAUGAAGUUAAAUAAAAUGUGAUGACCAAGAUUUUUGUGGUCUAUCAUGCGUGUUGACUGAUUUUGGAUGCCAUCCAUGACGUUAACACGUGAGGAACUGGUGUGGUGUGUGGGUCUACACUCGUGAACAUCUUGGAACUUUACAAAACUUUCUAUUAA
Molecule: non-coding RNA, 1545 nt
Organism: Cajanus cajan (pigeon pea)
Lineage: Eukaryota; Viridiplantae; Streptophyta; Magnoliopsida; Fabales; Fabaceae
Source: RefSeq, a predicted model, not a curated record